RNAcentral lists this ribosomal RNA (549 nucleotides) under uncultured Glomus. RNAcentral's name for it is "SSU rRNA". It matches the Rfam family "Eukaryotic small subunit ribosomal RNA", at positions 548 to 1098 of the family's 1831-position model. The record is from RNAcentral. Lineage: Eukaryota; Fungi; Glomeromycota; Glomeromycetes; Glomerales; Glomeraceae.
UUGGAGGGCAAGUCUGGUGCCAGCAGCCGCGGUAAUUCCAGCUCCAAUAGCGUAUAUUAAAGUUGUUGCAGUUAAAAAGCUCGUAGUUGAAUUUCGGGGUUAGUAGGUUGGUCAUGCCUCUGGUAUGUACUGGUCUCACUGAUUCCUCCUUCCUUAUGAACCGUAAUGCCAUUAAUUUGGUGUUGCGGGGAAUUUGGACUGUUACUUUGAAAAAAUUAGAGUGUUUAAAGCAGGCUAACGCUUGAAUACAUUAGCAUGGAAUAAUGAAAUAGGACGUUCGAUCUUAUUUUGUUGGUUUCUAGGAUUGACGUAAUGAUUAAUAGGGAUAGUUGGGGGCAUUAGUAUUCAAUUGUCAGAGGUGAAAUUCUUGGAUUUAUUGAAGACUAACUACUGCGAAAGCAUUUGCCAAGGAUGUUUUCAUUAAUCAAGAACGAAAGUUAGGGGAUCGAAGACGAUCAGAUACCGUCGUAGUCUUAACCAUAAACUAUGCCGACUAGGGAUCGGAUGAUGUUAAUUUUUUAAUGACUCAUUCGGCACCUUACGGGAAAC